This 5329-nucleotide long non-coding RNA is filed under the name Sus scrofa (pig). RNAcentral describes it as "lncRNA (ENSSSCG00000062265.1)". Lineage: Eukaryota; Metazoa; Chordata; Mammalia; Artiodactyla; Suidae. The record is from RNAcentral.
UAUAUAGUAGUGUGUAGCUGUUAACCCCAUACUCUAAUUUAUUUCUAGUGUGUAUUAUCUCAUUGUUUAAAAAAUUAAUAAUGUAAUAAUUAGAUUGACUUAAUUUGAUUAUUAUAUAAUUAUAUACAUUACAUAUAUGAUUAUUAUAAUAUACUUUAUAUGACCCAAGAUAUGCAAAUUGUUUCCAAUUUAACAUGUAAUCAGUAUAAAAAGUAUUGAGAUAUUUUACAUGAUUUUUUUCAAGCUAAGUCCUGUGUAUUUUAUUUAUUUAUUUUUAGUAUUUUAUUUUUUAUGUAAUUUAAAAAAUUUUUUUAAUUUUUAAAUUUUUUAUUGUUAUUUCCCCCAACACACUUCUUUUUUUCCACUGUAUAGCAUGGGGAAUAGACUUGUGGUUGCCCAGGGGGAGGGGGAGGGAGUGGGAGGGAUUGGGAGCCUAGGGUUAAGGAUGCAAACUCUUGCUUUUGGAAUGUAUUAUCAAUGAGAUCCUGCUGUGUAGCACUGAGAACUAUGUCUAUAUACUUACAACGGAGCACCACAAUGGAGAAAAAAUGUAUACAUAUAUGUGUAACUGUGUAUUUUAGACACCAGCACCUCCCAAUUCAGACUAGCCACAUUUCAAGGGCUUAGCAAGCAUAUGUGUCUAAUUUUCACCAUAUGGGCAAUGGAUUUGCUGUUUAUUUACUAAUCCUAAAAUUUUACUGUGUGUGUUGAGGAUCUUGCACACAUUAUAUGUUGUCAUCCUAGCAAUAAGUUGAGCUCUAUUCCCUUCUUUUGAUGGAGCUAAAGAACUUUCUGCAGUCAGGCCCUUCCCAAAGCCCUACCCUCUUCUAGCUGUACAGCAACACCCCCACUCCCAGAGCCCUGGACUCCCAACAUCCUACUCAGGGUCUGGUGAGAAGUAUAUGUGGAGGCAGGUAGAGGUCACCUGUGAGCAGAAGCGGUCAUGGCAUUGGGUUUGCAUUUGCAUUUCUCCAAUGAGAAAUGAUGUGAAGAAUAUUUCUUGAGCUAGUUGGUCAUUUAUAUAUCUUUUGUGUAGUCUACGUUCAAAUUUUUGACUACUUUUAAUUAGUUGAUUUCGUAUUACUGGGCUCAUAAAAGAAUUCAUAUACAUGAAUUUUAAAUAUCCACUCCCCUACCCACCCUGAGUAUUUAGCUAUAUCUUCAUUUUCAUAAUGAUGUUUCUUUUAUGAGAAAAACAUUUUGUUUUGAUGAGGUUCAGUUUAUCACUUUUAGGUUUUUAUGAUUCAUGCUUUUUUGUGUUUGCCUAGCACAAGGUGGCAAGGAUUUUCUCCUAUCUUUUCUUUUAUUCAGUGAUUUUUAUUUUUUUCCAUUGUGGUUGGUUUACAGUGUUCUGUCAGUUUUCUACCGUACAGCAAAGUGACCCAGUCGCACAUAGAUAUAUACAUUCUUUUUCUGAUAUCAUUCCAUCAUGCUCCUUCAUAAGUGACUAGAUCUAGUCCCCAGUGCUGUAAAGCAGGAUCUCAUUGUUUAUUCAUUCCAAAGGCAAUAGUUUGCAUCUAUUAACCCUUUUCUUUAAAAAAUUUUACAAGUUUUUGCAUUUAAAUCUAUGAUCCAAACAUUUAUGUGUAGCUUGAGGUAAAGGUCAAGGAUAAUUUUCUCCCAUGUGAAUAUCCAGUUGUUUGUUCCAGAAUCAUUUGUUGAAAAGACUGACUUUCCCCAUGGAAUUACUUUCAUAUUUUGUUGAAAAAUAGGGGAUCACAUAUAAGUGGGUUAAUUUCCAGCCUCUUGAUUUUUUUCCAUUGAAGUGUUUGUCUAUCCUAUGCCAAUAUCACAUUGUCUAAAUCACUGUAGUUUUAUUAGAAGGCUUGGAAUCAGAUUAAAUCCUCCAACUUCGUUUUUUGAAAAAAACUUAUUUUGGUUAUUUUAGGUUUUAUGUAUUCCUAUAAAAUUUUAAAAUUUGAGCUUGUCAAUUUCUCUUUUUAAAAAACCUACUGGGAUUUUGAUUGGAGUUGCAUUUAGUUUAUAGACCAAUUUGGGGAGGACUGACUUUAAAAACAUUGAGUUUUCUAAUUUGUGAACAUAGUAAAUCCUUCUUCUUCUACUUCUCCCUGCAGUGUUUGUGGUUUUUAAAUUCAUGUCCUGCAUAUAUUUUGUUUUUGAAGAUGUUAUAAUUGGCAUUCAAUAUUAAAGAUAUUUUCCAAAUAUCUGUUGAUAAUAGGUUAUUCUGAUAUUUUUCAAAAGCCAAAUAGUUUGCAAAUUGCCAGUAUCAAGAUAAAUUUGAAUAUUCUAUACAAGCCAGCUGCCUUGUGGUCAUCUAAUAAGCAUACCACCCUUAAGUUUCAGAAAUUAACCACACUUCUACUGUUGACAUUAUACACAGGGGAUGAAAUUAAUCUUUGUUUUAUGAUAUUUAUUUGUUUGGGCUGGUUAUUUCGAAAUUUUUGUCUAUAAAUUUUUUGAUUGUGCACCUUCUUCUAUUAGUGAAACCAUUUACACACAUCCUUAUGUAUGUAUCUUAGGAAAUUUAUUUACAAGUUAUAUACACAACAUUCUUUACUAAUUUGUCAUAUAAAUGAUAUAAAGCAUGGACAUUUGAAAAGGUCAAAAUAAAGAGUAAACCACACUUUUAAAUGUAUUAAUAGAAGUGAUGGCUUUAUAUUACUCUUAGCUAAUUUUUUAAAGCAUGAAUACAGGCAGAACAAGUUUCUUCAUUAACAAGUGUGGAUGUAAAUCCAUUGUUUAGUCUUCUUGGUUAUUUGAAUUUCUUUAGCUGACUUCUUGUCAGGUGGGAUUAGGGUGUCCUUGUCUUUAAUCUUGUAUUAUAAAUGAUGAACAGCUUGUUUUAGGAGUAUGCGACGCGUCAUCUCUGCUAUUCUUUUUGUAGUUUGCUGGCACUUGCAUUAGUAGCAGUAUUCUCAAUUUGUAAUUUAUUUCCUGGAAACUUUUUAAGCCACUUGUCCAUUUUGUAAUGUUAGGCUUGGCUAAAUCGACAUAAUUUAAUCUGUAAAUACAAUGAGCCUACUUAAACUGCAGUAAACUGGAAGCCAACAAGUGAAUGAAGGUCUGUGUAUCAGAAUUCCCUCCCUUCUUUCACAUCCGUGCCUGGGAGCUUGACAUCUGGUUACAGGACAGAGGGAGCAAGUGAUGACACCACUUCAAGCAUAUAUUGUCUUAGUUAACCUUAAUUUCUUAAUUGUUUCAAUUAAAAGUAAACAUAAGUAGAAAAUGUAAUUUCCCCCCUAUACUUCAGGGGAUCAUCUUGGAAUCCUCUGAUGUCAUUAUUAACCUCCCCUUGAGAGACCAAUCAUUUAGGCUGUGUUGCUACCGAGUCCAUGUGAUUGCAUUUGAUGUCUCUGCCAGCCAAUGUGUUUCAUGCAAAAAUUAAAUAAAAAAUAAAAAUAAGAUACAACAACAUACUCUGUUCUAUAGCUCUGUUCCAGACAGCUGAAUCAUAAUAUGUGCUAUUGGUCAUAAAAUAAGGAUGAAUUUGGAUGCUCUUUGCAAUCCUACAAGUUUAGGAAUAAUAAUAUGCAAAACAUGUGUUUCUGAGGUCAACUGAAAGUACAUUCUGUUUCUACAAAUUACUGGGAAACUUUGGUAGAGCACAAACUUAUUUAAAUUUCUUUCUUUCUUUUUGUUAUUUCCCAAAUACAAUUUUUUUUCCUACUGCACAGCAUGGUGACCCAGUUACACAUACAUAUAUACAUUCUUUUUUCUCACAUUAUCAUGCUCCGUUAUAAGUGACCAGACAUACUUCCCAGUGCUACACAGCAGGAUCUCAUUGCUAAUCCAUUCCAAAGGCAACAGUUUGCAUCUAUUAACCCCAAGCUCCCAAUCCACCCUCACUCCCUCCUCCUUGGAAACCACAAGACUAUUCUCCAAUUCCAUGACUUUCUUUUCUGUGGAAAGGUUCAUUUGUUCCAUAUAUUAGAUUCCAGAUAUAAGUGAUAUCAUAUGAUAUUUGUCUUUCUCUUUCUGACUUAUUUCACUCAGUAUGAGAGUCUCUAGUUCCAUCCAUGUUGCUGCAAAUGGCAUUAUUUUGUUCUUUUUAUGGCUGAGUAGUUUUCCAUUGUGUAUGCAUACCACAUCUUCCUAAUUCAAUCAUCUGUCAGUGGACAUUUGUAUUGUUUCCAUGACUUGGCUCUUAUGAAUAGUGUUGCAGUGCACAUGCAGGUGCAUGUGUCUUUUUCAAGGAAAGUUUUGUCCAGACUUAUGCCCAUGAGUGGGAUUGCUGAGUCAUAUGGUAGUUCUAUGUGUAGUUUUCUAAGGUACCGCCAUACUGUUCUCCAUAGUGGUUGUGCCAAUUUAUAUUCCCACCAACAGUGCAGGAGGGUUCCCUUUUCUCCACACUCUAACAUUUGUUAUUUGUGGAUUUAUUAAUGAGGGCCAUUCUGACUUGUGUGAGGUGGGAUUCAUGGUAGUUUUGAUUUGCAUUUAUCUAAUAAUCAGGGCUGUUGAGCACUUUUUCAUGUGCUUGUUGGCCAUCUGUACACCUUCCUUGGAGAAAAGUCUAUUCAGGUCUUUUGCCCAUUUUUCUAUUGGGUUAAGGGCUUUUUUGCUGUUGAGUUGUAUAAGUUGUUUGUAUAUUUUAGAGGUUAAGCCUUUGUUGGUUGCAUCAUUUGAAACUAUUUUCUCCAAUUCUGUAAGUUGUCUUUUUUUUUUUAAUGGUUUCCUUUGUUGUGCAAAAGCUUGUCAGUUUGAUUAGGUCCUACUGGUUUAUUGUUGCUUUUAUUUCUGUUGCUUUGGGAGACUGACCUGAGAAAACAUUUGUAAGGUUGAUGUCAGAGAAAUGUGUUGCUUAUGUUCUCUCCCAGGAGUUUGAUGGUGUCUUGUUUUAUAUUUAAGUCUUUCAGUCAUCUUGAGUUUAUUUUUGUGCAUGGUGUUUGGGUGCGUUCUAGUUUCGUUGAUCUGCAUGCAGUGGUCCAGGUUUGCCAGUAAUACUUGCUGAAAAGAUUGUCUUCUGUCUUUUUCACAUUUUGUGUUCUUGCCUCCUUUGUGAAAGAUUAAUUGACCAUAGGUGUCUGAGUUUAUUUCUGGGUUCUCUGUUCUGUUCCAUUGGUCUGUAUGUCUGUUUUGGUACCAGUACCACACUGUCUUGAUUAUUGUGCCUUUGUAAUAUUACCUAAAGUCUGGGAGGGUUAUGCCUUCUGCUUAGUUUUUGUUCCUCAUAUUUUAUUUUAAAAUAGAACUGGGGAAGGCAGAGCAAGAUGGCGGAGGAGUAAGAGGUCGGGCUCACCUUCUCCCACAAAUACAUCAAAAAAACCCCACAAAUCUACAUGUAAAAUGACUCGCACAGAACAUCCACUGAAUGCUGGCUGAAGAACUUAAACCUCCAAAAAAGGGCAAGAAGCUCUUGACAUAACUGGGU